Long non-coding RNA from Talpa occidentalis (Iberian mole), 309 nucleotides. RefSeq lists it as uncharacterized. NCBI's taxonomy places the organism in Eukaryota, Metazoa, Chordata, Mammalia, Eulipotyphla, Talpidae. The transcript is spliced from 3 exons. The record is from RefSeq and is a predicted model, not a curated record.
UUCCCGGGAAGGAAUCUUCAAAUACUGCGUGUUGAAAGCGCCUGGCUAAUGCGGGACUGACCGUAGUUUGCCAAAUUAAGAAAACGCUGGGAGAGCAUGAACACAUCCCACCACUACCACAAAUUAUGCAGCCUAGCUUUCCACAUUGGGGAAAUCAUGAGUGUCUGCAUAUCCGAGUGCAACGGGGUUGGAAAAACAACCUUUGUGAUUGUGGUAUCUCCCCUACCAGAUAUACAUCUACUCACAGAUAUACACAGAUAUACCAAGAAGAGCAGGCACCUAGUCUAUUAAAGGUAUGGUUGAGACAAU